Small nucleolar RNA from Arvicanthis niloticus (Nile rat), 143 nucleotides. RefSeq annotates it as small nucleolar RNA SNORA48. NCBI's taxonomy places the organism in Eukaryota, Metazoa, Chordata, Mammalia, Rodentia, Muridae. The record is from RefSeq and is a predicted model, not a curated record.
GACCCCUGGCAAUGGGCAAAAUGACAUCUUGUUUGGUGGUGAUGUUCUUAGCAGUCAGGGGCAGAGCAGAUGGCAGUCUUUUGUUCAUCCUAGCUUGAUGCCUGGCUUGGUGGCCAAAGCUGUCUUAUGGCUAGAACUCAUAA